AUUUUUCACUAUUUUUCUUCCAAGCAAGCAUUUUUUUUUUCAUUCUUUCUAUUUUUGUUCUUUUCUUUCACAUCAAAUAUACAAAACAGAUGUUUAUUUUCUACAUUUUCUAUACAUAUAUUUUUCUAUGCUUGCUCGGUUUUUCUUUUCUUUUUCAAGAGUUGUGGUACUUACCAAUUCUUUUUCGUUCUCCCCAACUUAUUUCU
RNAcentral lists this long non-coding RNA (206 nucleotides) under Lathyrus oleraceus (garden pea). Its description in RNAcentral is "Pisum sativum (pea) long non-coding RNA (PSAT_LNC026916)". The record is from RNAcentral. Lineage: Eukaryota; Viridiplantae; Streptophyta; Magnoliopsida; Fabales; Fabaceae.